CCUACGGGGGGCAGCAGUGGGGAAUAUUGGACAAUGGGCGCAAGCCUGAUCCAGCAAUGCCGCGUGCGUGAUGAAGGCCUUCGGGUUGUAAAGCGCUUUCGCCCACGACGAUGAUGACGGUAGUGGGAGAAGAAGCCCCGGCUAACUCCGUGCCAGCAGCCGCGGUAAUACGGAGGGGGCUAGCGUUGUUCGGAAUUACUGGGCGUAAAGGGUGCGUAGGCGGCUGUCCAAGUCGGGUGUGAAAGCCCCGGGCUCAACCCGGGAUGUGCAUCCGAGACUGGGCGGCUAGAGUUCGGGAGAGGUGAGUGGAAUUCCCAGUGUAGAGGUGAAAUUCGUAGAUAUUGGGAAGAACACCGGUGGCGAAGGCGGCUCACUGGACCGACACUGACGCUGAGGCACGAAAGCGUGGGGAGCAAACAGGAUUAGAUACCCUUGUAGUC
Molecule: ribosomal RNA, 440 nt
Filed under: uncultured bacterium
Lineage: Bacteria
Description: bacterial SSU rRNA
Rfam family: Bacterial small subunit ribosomal RNA
Source: RNAcentral